RNAcentral lists this ribosomal RNA (253 nucleotides) under uncultured bacterium. Its description in RNAcentral is "partial 16S ribosomal RNA". It matches the Rfam family "Bacterial small subunit ribosomal RNA", at positions 524 to 776 of the family's 1533-position model. The record is from RNAcentral.
UACAGAGGGUGCGAGCGUUAAUCGGAAUUACUGGGCGUAAAGCGUGCGUAGACGGUUAUGUAAGUUAGGUGUGAAAGCCCCGGGCUCAACCUGGGAAUUGCAUUUAAGACUGCAUAGCUAGGGUGCGGAAGAGGGAAGCGGAAUUUCCGGUGUAGCGGUGAAAUGCGUAGAUAUCGGAAGGAACACCAGUGGCGAAAGCGGCUUCCUGGUCCAGCACCGACGUUCAGGCACGAAAGCGUGGGGAGCGAACAGG